GCUCCUCGAUGCUCCGCCGCUCGCGGCUGGGGGGUCCGGGGCCGCGUCUCCUCUCCUCCCUCCGCCUCUCCUCUUUCCUCCUUCCUGCUGCCUCUUCUUUUAAAGCGGAUUCUUUGGCCACAAAUAGCAACUCGGCUGCCCCCCUCGGUGCCUCCCUCCCCUUCUCUUCUUCCCCCCAAAAGUGAAGCGCACGCGAGGUAAAGAAACGAAGACCCUGAGAAUUUAAAAUCAUCCAACUAUUUGGUGCCAGAAGCAGGACAAGAACUCAGACAUCAUGAUCCAGUGCCCUCCAUCCCACCAGCUAUUCAUCAUCACCUCCACAUUCUGGAUCAAAGAAGCCAGUUUUCCAACUUAUCAAUGAGCAAUACAUAUAGAAUAUUUUUAAAACUCCAAAUACUUUUAUGAAGGAAAAAUGAAGCAAUAGGACAAGACAUUUUCUUCGUUUCCUUCCAGCUCUAACAUUCUGUGAUAAAUAGCACACAGGAGCUUUGCUAUAGCACUACCCCCUCUAGUGCAUAAUUCAGCAUACGAUGAGUAUGAGUCUGUUUUGGACCCCAUCCAAAGGAGUUAGUUCCUAGAAGUACUUGGAAGAUUUAUUCUCAUUUAUCAUGAGGCAUCCUAACAGGAGACUAAAAAUAAUCACGAUGACAAUAAUAGUAAUCAGUUGUUACACUUGUAUUAUGUACUAAGCAUCGUGCUAAGCAUGUUAAAGUUCACCUGUUUUUGAAAAGGCACUUCAUGACCUUAUGUGGGUUGCGAAUCUAGUGGGUCAUAAACAAUUUCUGAAAUGAAAGAAAAGUAGGAAAAAACACAGAGUGCAUUAUACAUACUAAGUUGUUUUAUUUUUUAUUUUUUUAUUUUUUUUGCAAAACUUCCUUUUUGAUCAUGUGGCUAGUGAUUAAAAGUUUGGAAGCACUGCCUCGUUUCCAAUCUUAACUGCCUUGCUAGUUAAGUAUUAUUAGCCCCAUUAUAUAAGUGAGGAAACAGGACGAGAGAGGAUAAGUAAUUUGGCCAAGCUGACACAGUGAGUGGCCAAGCUAGAAUUUUGAACCUAGAUCUGUUUGACUUCAAAUCCAAUAUUUUCACUUCUAUAGUGAUGAUAAAUUAUUGACCAAGGUAUGGAAUAAAUUGUUGCUAAUCAUGUUUUCUUUGUGAG
This 1156-nucleotide long non-coding RNA is filed under the name Homo sapiens (human). Its description in RNAcentral is "HSALNT0351094". The record is from RNAcentral. Lineage: Eukaryota; Metazoa; Chordata; Mammalia; Primates; Hominidae.